This 253-nucleotide ribosomal RNA is filed under the name uncultured bacterium. RNAcentral describes it as "partial 16S ribosomal RNA". It matches the Rfam family "Bacterial small subunit ribosomal RNA", at positions 524 to 776 of the family's 1533-position model. The record is from RNAcentral.
UACGAAGGGGGCUAGCGUUGUUCGGAUUUACUGGGCGUAAAGCGCACGUAGGCGGUUUGUUAAGUCAGGGGUGAAAUCCCGGAGCUCAACUCCGGAACUGCCUUUGAUACUGGCAAGCUAGAGUCCGGAAGAGGUAAGUGGAACUCCUAGUGUAGAGGUGGAAUUCGUAGAUAUUAGGAAGAACACCAGUGGCGAAGGCGGCUUACUGGCCCGGAACUGACGCUGAGGUGCGAAAGCGUGGGGAGCAAACAGG